RNAcentral lists this transfer RNA (67 nucleotides) under Habroteleia persimilis. RNAcentral describes it as "tRNA-Trp". The record is from RNAcentral. Lineage: Eukaryota; Metazoa; Arthropoda; Insecta; Hymenoptera; Scelionidae.
AAAUCUUUAAGUUAAUUAAACUAUUAAUCUUCAAAAUUAAAAAUAUUUAAAUUUUAAAUAAGUUUUA